Molecule: ribosomal RNA, 752 nt
Filed under: uncultured Microcystis sp.
Lineage: Bacteria; Bacillati; Cyanobacteriota; Cyanophyceae; Chroococcales; Microcystaceae
Description: bacterial SSU rRNA
Rfam family: Bacterial small subunit ribosomal RNA
Source: RNAcentral
AGAGUUUGAUCCUGGCUCAGGAUGAACGCUGGCGAGAUGCCUUACACAUGCAAGUCGUACGGGGAUUUUUAAUUCAAGUGGCGGACGGGUGAGUAACACGUAAGAAUUUGCCUUUAGGAGGGGGACAACAACUGGAAACGGUUGCUAAUACCCCAUAUGCUUUCGAGUGAAAUGGAUUUUUCCGCCUAAAGAGAAGCUUGCGGCUGAUUAGCUUGUUGGUGAGGUAAUGGCUCACCAAGGCGACGAUCAGUAUCUGGUUUGAGAGGAUGAUCAGACACACUGGAACUGAGACACGGUCCAGACUCCUACGGGAGGCAGCAGUGGGGAAUUUUCCGCAAUGGGCGAAAGCCUGACGGAGCAAUCUCGCGUGAGGGAUGACGGCCUAUGGGUUGUAAACCUCUUUUUUCAGGGAGGAACAAAAUGACGUGUACCUGAAGAAUAAGCAUCGGCUAACUCCGUGCCAGCAGCCGCGGUAAGACGGAGGAUGCAAGUGUUAUCCGGAAUCACUGGGCGUAAAGCGUCUGUAGGUGGUUUGAUAAGUCAACUGUUAAAUCUUGAAGCUCAACUUCAAAAUCGCAGUCGAAACUAUUAGACUAGAGUAUAGUAGGGGUAAAGGGAAUUUCCAGUGGAGCGGUGAAAUGCGUAGAUAUUGGAAAGAACACCGAUGGCGAAGGCACUUUACUGGGCUAUUACUGACACUCAGAGACGAAAGCUAGGGUAGCAAAUGGGAUUAGAUACCCCAGUAGUCCUAG